Long non-coding RNA from Globicephala melas (long-finned pilot whale), 3133 nucleotides. RefSeq lists it as uncharacterized. The record is from RefSeq and is a predicted model, not a curated record. Lineage: Eukaryota; Metazoa; Chordata; Mammalia; Artiodactyla; Delphinidae.
UGGAGUGACCUCCCUCCCAUGAUAUGUUUGUAUCACUUUAGAGCAGGGAUUCUCAGAUGUCAGGGAGGAUACCCAAGUCACUGUGAACUGCAAACCCCCUUAGAAUGUAUUUAGUUCUACCGUGGAGGGUGGGUGAGACGGGGAGCAGACAGAGCUAUCACCCACCACCCGGGACCAUCAGUGUGGAAACCGCUGCUGGGGCGAGUGGCUGCUGCAGAGCUGGGUGGAUGCAUGCACAAUGGCAUCUUGGUGCGGAAAAAGUUGAGGACUAGCUUUAGUGAAAUGAUCUUGUCAGAGAUGACACGUGAUUGGUUAGUGAGAGUGGUGUUCUUGUCCUUCUCAAUACAUCCAAUUCUGUGUUCUUGGACCAAACCCAGCCCCCUUGAAUCUAGCCAGCCAUUUAGAAGUUUAUUCAGGAUCAGAAGAAGAUACAAGUGAAAGGAUCUGGGUGACUCCAUUCCCCUCAUUAGCACAUGUGACUCACAAGAUGUGUCAUGUCUAUAUAUAGUACAGGACACACAUACAGAUGGUUUCUUCAUUUGGGAAAAGUAUGUCUGUUCUUAUUCUGUAUAUAGAACAUAGAACAUAGACUCUAUACUAUAGUAAAGAUAAUUUGAGAUUAAGAAGUAGGAUUCCAGAAGACCUUUCCUCGGGGGACACUGAAAUGAGAAAUCAUCGGGAGGAUCUGGGGAAGGAUGACACCUGUAUCCCUUCACCCUCCACAAAAACCACUUCUCUACCCAUUGGUUCCUAGUGGAUGUGCUGAGAGGGAAGAGGUCUUUUAAACAGGAAAGGCAGGAGUUGCUUCUAGACAUGAGGGAAAGAUGUUAGGAUGAUGCAAAUAAGCUUCAAGGACAGAGAAAUCCACUCUCAAGGUUCUGGGUGCUUACGAGGUUUAUUAGCUAUCUAUGGCCACCUAGCAGAUGAACACAGGACGUAGUGGCCUAAAACAACAUUGGUUAUCUUCCAGUUUAUGUGGGCAGGAAUUAGGGAGCAGCUUAGCUGGGUGGUUCUGGCUUAUGAGGUUGCGAUCAAGGUAUUGGCUGGACUGCAGUCUUCUGAGGGCUUGACUUCAAGAAGGCGUGCUUACAGGGCUUUUGUUGGGAGGACUCAGUUCUGUGCCAGGUGGGCUGCUCCAGAGGUCUGCUUGAGUGUUCUCGUGACACAGUGGCUGGCUUUGUAAGAGAGAGAAGUCACACUCGGUCAUUUCUGCAAUAUCCUAUGGGUGGGUGAUAUGCGUCACCCCUACUCAGUAUGAGGGUGCAGAUGCCUGGAGGUGGGGUCACUGGGGGACAGCCACCACACGAGAUCAUGCCUGAUGCCAGCCUGAAAGGAUGCCGAAAACUUGUAAUUCAUUAAAGGUAAGAACUGCCUCAUCAACUGGUUAAAGAAAUGGAUUGGGACAAGUACUGAGCAAGCAGGGGCCCAGAAUCUCAGGGAGCUUUGGGAAAGGAGGGAAAGGAAGAAUAUGCAAAGUAGUUACAAGGUGGUUUCGAGCUCAGAUAUAGACUGCUUGGAAAGACGCUAGAAAACUGUCUUUCUCAUCUAGAAACCUGGGGACUAAGGUGUGAACUGAGAAGAUUGGGAUGGUGAUGGAGUGAUGUGGACAUCUGUACCCAGGACAUGACCUGGGGAACUUCCGCUCUGCAGGUGGCCUGGGAUGCUGACUGUGGGGGGAUUUUGAGAGCCAGGGAAGAUCCCACCAGUCCUGCUGGCAGCGCCAAACCAAACAGCCUCGGCUACAUGCUUGAUGGAGCAAGAGGCAGCAUGGCUUUAAAGCAGAAAUAUAAUCUAUAUUUAGAUUAUAAUAAUCUAUAAUCUAUCUAUCUAUCUAUAUAUUUGGGUGCCCCACUCAGCUUGUGGGAUCUUAGUUCCCAGACCAGGAAUGGAGCCCACACCCUCUGCAAUGAAACCUCAGAGUCUUAACAACUGCAGCGCCCAGGAAUUCCCAGAACUAUAAUAUUUAAUAGCAGCUACGCCACAACACCUACCUUGAGGGAGUAGCCAGCAUACGAGUAGGAGUGAGAUUUCCUGUCAGCUUUACCAGCCAAGUCAAUAUUUGGCUGGAGCUUAGACCAAGUGAGACUCAAAAAUAUGUCCUCAUACGUUCCUGUAUCAUUUUGCUUUCCCAUCCAUCCGUCCAUCCGUCCGUCCGUCCAUCCAUCCAUCCAUCCAUCCCAUGUUUAUUGGUCAUUUACUUUGUGCUUUGAUUUGCUAGAGAAAAACACAAUUGUUGAAUUUUCAAUUCAUAAAAUUGUGUUUUCCCCAGAUCAUGACCACAGUAUUGUCUCUGGAGCAUGUUACCACACUAAUCAUAUUUGUUGAGGGUGAAAGUCACACAAUUAACAAAUGGCAAAACUGAAACUAGAUUCAGGUUAGCCAGUCUGUCUAUACCCUUUUGGAGCACAUCACCUAAAAUGAUUUAUUUUUUCCUGGCUCAGGAUCUCUCUCUCCUGACCCUCAUUGGUUGUUGCUUCUUUUGAGAAGACUCCUUUCUCCCAAGCAUACCUGAAAACUCCAAAGAAAAUUACAUGACAAUAUCUCCAUACCUUAAAAAAUGUUAGACCACAAGACGUCGAGGCCUGUUUCUCCUGUCUUUCCUGCAUGAUCAGGGCCUGGGUAGUCUGUGUACCUCAGACGGAAUCAGGGAUCAAGGGAGUUGCCCCAUCGCUCUGUUCUGUGACAUGCUGCUAAAGGAUUGUGGGAGUUUCCUUGCCCUCAACCGGGAAGAUCUAGAAAAGACAGAUGGUUGCAGUUUCUGGAAGUGAGGAAGAUAAUUCUACCACUUCAGAAUCACCAGCCCAAGUGAUUACAGUUGUUGGGAAAUGAUUGCAUGGCGAGUCCUUAUCUUCAAUGGUGGCUGAAAAAUUAGAGGACAUCAAGGUUUUGCAAUAGCUAAGAGGGGUUUCUGAAGAGUUCUUAUCAUCUGCGAGGAUUCAGGCAGCUGGGAAAUGUCUGGCCUGGGGAGUUUCUGUGAUGUGUGUUCGGGGAGGGAAUUUGGAAACAUAUCAUUUGCCGCAAGGGUCCGGGGAAGAAGCUUUUUUAUGGGAAGGGUCAGAACAGCUGGGAGGGCAAUUCAGAGGCUGCAGCAGGUUUAAGGGAAUGGAAAUGGGGGCAUUUCCCUGCAGGGGAG